Molecule: ribosomal RNA, 279 nt
Filed under: uncultured bacterium
Lineage: Bacteria
Description: partial 16S ribosomal RNA
Rfam family: Bacterial small subunit ribosomal RNA
Source: RNAcentral
UGCCAGCCGCCGCGGUAAUACGGAGGGUGCAAGCGUUGUUCGGAAUUACUGGGCGUAAAGCGCGUGUAGGCGGUACUGCAAGUCGGGUGUGAAAGCCCUGGGCUCAACCCAGGAACUGCGCUCGAAACUGCAGCACUAGAGUACGGGAGAGGGGUGUGGAAUUCCUGGUGUAGAGGUGAAAUUCGUAGAUAUCAGGAGGAACAUCGGUGGCGAAGGCGACACCCUGGACCGAUACUGACGCUGAGACGCGAAAGCGUGGGGAGCAAACAGGAUUAGAUA